This 501-nucleotide ribosomal RNA is filed under the name uncultured bacterium. Its description in RNAcentral is "partial 16S ribosomal RNA". It matches the Rfam family "Bacterial small subunit ribosomal RNA", at positions 30 to 523 of the family's 1533-position model. The record is from RNAcentral.
AUUGAACGCUGGCGGCAUGCCUUACACAUGCAAGUCGAACGGCAGCACGGGUGUUUGCACCUGGUGGCGAGUGGCGAACGGGUGAGUAAUACAUCGGAACGUACCUUAUCGUGGGGGAUAACGCAGCGAAAGCUGUGCUAAUACCGCAUACGCCCUGAGGGGGAAAGCGGGGUAUCGAAAGACCUCGCGCGAUUAGAGCGGCCGAUGCCUGAUUAGGUUGUUGGUGGGGUAAAAGCCCACCAAGGCGACGAUCAGUAGCUGGUCUGAGAGGACGAUCAGCCACACUGGUACUGAGACACGGCCCAGACUCCUACGGGAGGCAGCAGUGGGGAAUUUUGGACAAUGGGGGCAACCCUGAUCCAGCAAUGCCGCGUGAGUGAAGAGGGCCUUCGGGUUGUAAAGCUCUUUUGUCAGGGAAGAAACACCGGCUCUAACACAGUCCGGGAAUGACGGUACCUGAAGAAUAGGCACCGGCUAACUACGUGCCAGCCGCCGCGGUAA